Molecule: non-coding RNA, 22 nt
Filed under: Arabidopsis thaliana (thale cress)
Lineage: Eukaryota; Viridiplantae; Streptophyta; Magnoliopsida; Brassicales; Brassicaceae
Source: RNAcentral
AGAGUCAAAGUAACGGGUGUUA